Molecule: transfer RNA, 81 nt
Filed under: Bacillus sp. UFRGS-B20
Lineage: Bacteria; Bacillati; Bacillota; Bacilli; Caryophanales; Bacillaceae
Description: tRNA-Asp
Source: RNAcentral
GGUCCCGUUGGUGUAGUGGGUUAACAUUGCCUGCCUGUCACGCAAGGAGAUCGCCGGUUCGACCCCGGUCCGGGACCGCCA